This is a long non-coding RNA of Cebus imitator (Panamanian white-faced capuchin), 222 nucleotides long. RefSeq lists it as uncharacterized. The record is from RefSeq and is a predicted model, not a curated record. NCBI's taxonomy places the organism in Eukaryota, Metazoa, Chordata, Mammalia, Primates, Cebidae. The transcript has 3 exons.
CAUCUCCCUCCUCCUGCUUUAUUACCGGCCUCCAGGAAAUUGCCUGAAUAGACUUGCGCCCGCUGGACAUCUCUGAGCACGGCUGCAGCUCAGGAGAAUGGCCGUCUCCAUUCGGCCACCGUGAAGAUGGGGAUCAGCCUGCGAAUGGAGCUGUCAGCACCAAGAAGAGAGCCGGGAAAUGUGGUGGAGUCUUUCUCUGUUGCCCAGGCUGGAAUGCGGUGA